CCUACGGGCGGCAGCAGUGAGGAAUAUUGGUCAAUGGGCGGAAGCCUGAACCAGCCAAGUAGCGUGCAGGAUGACGGCCCUACGGGUUGUAAACUGCUUUUAUACGGGAAUAACGCGCCUUACGUGUAGGUCUUUGCAUGUACCGUAUGAAUAAGGACCGGCUAAUUCCUUGCCAGCAGCCGCGGUAAUACGGAAGGUCCGGGCGUUAUCCGGAUUUAUUGGGUUUAAAGGGAGCGUAGGCCGCAUGUCAAGCGUGCUGUGAAAUGUUCGGGCUCAACCCGGGCCUUGCAGCGCGAACUGGCGUGCUUGAGUGCGCGGAAGGCAGGCGGAAUUCGUGGUGUAGCGGUGAAAUGCUUAGAUAUGACGAAGAACCCCGAUUGCGAAGGCAGCUUGCUGCAGCGGAACUGACGCUGAUGCUCGAAAGCGCGGGUAUCGAACAGGAUUAGAUAUCCCGGUAGUC
Molecule: ribosomal RNA, 460 nt
Filed under: uncultured bacterium
Lineage: Bacteria
Description: partial 16S ribosomal RNA
Rfam family: Bacterial small subunit ribosomal RNA
Source: RNAcentral